AGCAAGCCACGUGGGUGACUUCUUUUCAAAGUUCUCUGCCUCAGAGGAGGAAGCCCCAUGGGUGGAGGCCAGGCCCGAGGCCAUCCUGCUCUGGGCCAGAGCGUGCCUGUGUCUGAUGAGCGAGGACAUGCCUCGUCUGGCUGAGCCUUCCAUUUCACACCGGCAGCUCGAACCCCCCAUCACGGCUUCCUUUUGGGCUCCCCUCCUCAGGGGACCGAGCUUGAAAUGUGCUUGCCCUUCAUCCCUAAGGCCUGCGUCCCUUCCUCAGAGAGGACUAAGCCCCUCUCCCAGUCUUGAUGUUCUCCGAGGCCCUUCUUAUUCACAGAACCUAUCUGGCUUAUUUAUUCGCUUGCUUGCUUCUGAUGUCUUCUCUUACUGAAAGGAAUCGAAGGGCCAAGGAAUGUGUUUUUCGUUGAUGUCAACUUGCUGCAAAGGACCACACCUGCUUCUCGACCCAGGAACGUGGGAAAGGGAAAGGCUUGGCUUGUUUUGGUGGAGAUGGAGAUGCUGGUAACAGUGGAGGAAUGCCCUCCUUCUGAUUCACAGUGGGGAGGUGCUCUGGGCCCCUGCCACUGCCCGAGGACUUCAGGUAAGUCAGCCCGUGGCCCCCAGCCCUUCCCUGCCAGACGCCCUGGCAGACGGCUUGUUCUGACAAGUAUGCGCUUUCUGGAUGGAACAGCCUCCCUUUUGUCCAAACCCUUCCUUUGAAUUUAAAAUGCACAAAGAACCUUUCGAAGAGGAAAAGAAUGGGAUCAGGAAGAGGAGGCUGUAUCUCAUUUGGACACUCAAGCCCUCAGCUCCUGCCCAAGAGUUUCUGGAAUUUGCUCCCACAUCACGUCAUGACUUUUGGCUCCCAGCCAGGUGCGGUGGCAUCUGUGGCUUCAUCCUUCUGGGAAGUCAGGGUCAUGUUCCCUUGAGUCUUCUCCCUUUCCUCUCCCCAGCUUUUGGUUGUCCUGCUGAGAGGAUGCGGCAUUUGAGCAGUAGCUUCUGGAGCCCAGAGUGAAGCCCCACCCAGGCACCCUGACAGGACCACAGGAAUGCUCCUGGCACAGCAAGCAGGACUCUUGAGAAGCUCAGCCUCCACGCUCCUUGUAGAUGUUCAGUUCAAACUCCACAGUUUGUGUGACUCACUGAAGGGCUUGGUUUGGCUCUCGCUGACGAGUCUGUCAUCGGUGCCAGGUGACACGCUUUUCCCCUCCUCCCGUCUAGUCCUCUCUCUUGCCCCAGGGCUUCUGGUGGGGAAGUUUAACCUCCUCUUCAUAAGCAGUGGGAGGGCUACUGUGCUGCCCUCUGGCCCAAGCUCUGGUAUUCCCUUUGCAGUGGUGGGUGCUCUCAUUCCUUUGCAAUGUGCCCUGCAGUGUGAACCCAGGGGAUCCAUGAGACAGGGAACUCACGUCUGUUUUCUUCAUUUGGUGUAGCAUGCCAUUGGGCGUUUGCCAGACAGGGCCUAUCAUGUGGGCCCUACACCUAUUCACACACCUGCCAUUUGCCUUCAGAAUCCUGUUCCCAGUGGGUAAUGGGUUUAAAAGCCCAUAGCUGAGUUUAUCCACAUUGGAUCCGACCCACAUUCCAAUGCUCUUGUAAGUCUCCAGUUGGUCAAAUGAGCAGUUUGAUCCCUUGAUCCUUCAAAAUACUGGAUAUAUUUAUUUCUUCUUGCCUUUUGAUCUUUCAAGCUUGAAAUUUCUCCGCACAUAAAAGUCUUCAAAAUGCCCUCAAACUUCUGUCUCCAAAGGCAAUUUUUUUUCACUUUUUCAUUUUUUUGUAGAGAUAGUCUCACUAUGUUGCCCAGGCUGGUCUUGAACUCCUGGCCUCAAGUGAUCCUUCCCCCUUGGCUUCCCAAAGUGCUGGGAUUACAGGUGUGAGCCUCUGUGCCCAGCCACCAAAGGCAUUUUUACUUGGCUCUGUACAGUGGAGCUGCUUCUCUAUUUGGAGGUUGAAGUUUGUGUCAAGUUCUUGAGUUUGUAAGAAUAGGACAUGAAAGCAGAGAGCCUUUUAAUCAGAUGAGCAGCUAUCUAUGUUAUGUUUUCACAGAUUUUGAUUCUUCUUUUUUUGAGAUGGAGUCUUGCUCAUCCGCCCAGGCUGGAGUGCAGUGGCGCGAUCUUGGCUCACUGCAACCUCCGCCCCCCAAGUUCAAGUGAUUCUCCUGCCUCAGUCUCCCAAGUAGCUAGCUGGGACUACAUGCGCGUGCCACCACACCUGGCUAAUUUUUGUAUUUUUGUAUAUAUUAGUAGUAGAAACAGGGUAGGCUGGGCGCUGUGGCUCAAGCCUGUAAUCCCAGCACUUUGGGAGGCCGAGGUGGGUGGAUCACGAGGUCAGGAGAUCGAGACCAUCCUGGCCAACAUGGUGAAACCCCGGCUCUACUAAAAAUACAAAAAUUAGCUGGACAUGGUGGCAUAUGUCUAUAAUCCUAGCUACUCAGGAGGCUGAGGCAGGAGAAUCACUUGAACCGGGGAGUCAGAGGUUGUAGUGAGCCGGGAUUGCGUCACUGCACUCCAGCCUGGCAACAGAGAGAGACUCCAUCUAAAAAAAAUAAAAAAUAAAAGAAAACAGGGUUUCAGGGUUUCACUAUGUUGGCCAGGAUAUUCUCGAUCUCGUGACCUCAUGAUCCGCCCGUCUCAGCCUCCUAAAGUGCUGGGAUUAUAGGCGUGAGCCACCGCACCUGGUUGAUUUUGAUUAUUCUAAGUAGGGAUAGUCGAAAUCUUCAUAGUGUUUGACAUUUCAUGUAUUUAUCAGCUGAAACUGAUUGUUUUCAUGGUUUUGAGGAAUCUCAGUGAAAUAAUUCAGUGUUGCCAGAUCCAGGGAAUCUUUUCUCCCCAAGGCAUUUGCUGUAUAAUCAAUAAAUGUAUGUAUCAUAUGGAAAGGUAUGAUUAGAGUACACUUAGAAUUAGUUUAUUUCUCUAAAGAUGCUUUUACCUUAGCUGGGCAUGGUGGUACGCACCUGUAGUCCCAGCUACUUGGGAAGCUGAGGUGGGAGGAUUACUUGAGCCUGGGAAUUUGAGGCUGCAGUGAGCUAUGAUCACACCAUUGCAUUCCAGCCUGGGCCACAGACCCUGUCUCAAAGAAAAAAAAAAGAGAUUUUUAUUUUUUUAUUUUUUUUCUUUUGAGAUGGAGUCUAGCUCUGUCACCCAGGCUGGAGUGCAGUGGUGUGAUAUGGGCUCGCUGCAACUUCUGCCUCCCAAGUUCAAGCGAUUCUUCUGCCUCAGCCUCCUGAGUAGCUGGGAUUAUAGGCAUGCACUACCACCCCCUGCUAAUUUUUUUGUAUUUUUAGUAGACAACCGGGUUUCACCGUGUUAGCCAGGCUGGCCUCAAACUCCUGACCUCAAGUGAUCCACCCGCAUCGACCUCACAAAGUGCUUGGAUUACAGGUGUGAGCUACUGUGCCAGGCCAGAAAAAAUAAAAUAAAAUAAAAUAAAGACGAAUUUACCUGGUCAUUUAAAAAACAACCUAAUGAGCUAGGCAAUUUUCAUUAAGCUUAUUUUCAUAGGGAGAACAAAACACAGUUCUCAACUUCUUGUCCCCCUUUGUCCCUACUUCCCUGAUUCCCUCCUCUCCUACUUGUCUUUCUCUUCUUCUCUCCAGGAGCUGAGAACAGCCCCCUUCCUAUUUGAGGCUGGCCUGUCCAUGCGCACCCUUGGCCUCACAUCAAUGGAGGAUCACCCAUCCCUUCCUCGUGCUAGAAACCCAAUGGCUGUAUUCCAUAAGCCUGCAGGACUCUUGCUCUUCUCCUUAUUUAACUACACCAGCUUAGGAGUAGCCUACAUGCUCCAUCUUCAUUUCCUUACCCCAUCUACUCCACAGUCUACCAUUCUCUUGCUGAGGUUACUUACCUGGCCUCUUUCCUCUACACUCUUUUCCACACUCACUUGUCCAGGUGCACAUUAAUACCUACACCUGACUAUCCUACAGAUAACUCGAAUUCAAGAUGGUGGGGGAAUAAACUCACCAUCUUACUCUAUAUGUCUGCCUGUCCUUCAGUAUUUCUCAUGUGGGAUAAGGGUGCUAUGAUUCACCCACUUGUCCAAGACAGAACACCUCGAUGUCAUUCUUUUUUUAAAUUUUUAAUUUUUUUUUGAGACAGAGUUUCGCUGUUAUCACCCAGGCUGGAGUGCAAUGGCGCGAUCUCAGCUCACUGCAACCUCUGCCUCCCCUUUUCAAGCGAUUCUCCUGCCUCAGCCUCCUGAGUAGCUGGGAUUACAGGCACCCACCACAAUGCCUGGCUAAUUUUUUUUGUUUGUUUGUUUGUCUGUUUUUGUUUUCGAGACAGAGUUUUGCUUUUGUUGCCCAGGCUGGAGUGCAAUGGCAUGAUCUCGGCUCACCGCAACCUCUGCCUCCCGGGCUCAAGCGAUUCUCCUGCCUCAACCUCCUGAGUAGCUGGGAUUACAGGCAUGCGCCACCAUGCCUGGCUAAUUUUGUAUUUUUAGUAGAGAUGGGAUUUCUCCAUGUUGAUCAGGCUGGUCUCAAACUCCCAAUCUCAGGUGAUCCACCCGCCUUGGCCUCUGAAAGUGCUGGGAUUACAGGUGUGAGCCACCGUGCCCAGCCAAUUUUUUGUCUUUUUAAUAGAGAGGGGGUUUCACCACAUUGGCCAGGCUGGUCUCAAACUCCUGACCUCAGGUGAUCCACCCUCCUCGGCCUCCCAAAAUGCUGGGACUGCAGGUGUGAGCCACCGCACCUGGCCUGGAUGUCAUUCUUGACUCCACUUUGCUGCCUUAUUCUAUCACUGAGUUCCACCUGCAUGGUUCCCUUGGCCAGGGAUAACGCCGUUUUUCACCCUCCUGACAGCUCCCAUUCUUCCUGCAAAAUCCUCACCUGAUGUCACUAUGGCUGCAAAGCUUCCCCAGCUUCCUCCCUAAGAGAGACGCCGUGGCACUUUUUUUUUUUUUUGAGACAGAGUCUCGCUCUGUCACCCAGGCUGGAGUGCAGUGGUGUGAUCUUGGCUCACUGCAACCUCCGCCUCCUGGGUUCAAGUGAUUCUCCUGCCUCAGCCUCCUGAGUAGCUGGGACUACAGGCACCCGCCACCAUGCCCGGCUAAUUUUUGUAUUUUUAGUAGAGAUGGGGUUUCACCUUAUUGGCCAGGCUGGUCUUGAACUUCUGACCUUGUGAUCUGCCCACCUCGGCCUCCCAAAGUGCUGGGAUUAUAGGCGUGAGCGACCGUGCCCAGCCUAGACUGUGUUAUUUUGUUCACCCAUGUAUACCUUUAUUCACUCCCUCCUGCCCCAAAUGUUAUUGAACAUCGACUAAGCCAGGCACUCUGCAAACUGUAUCAAUCUAACUGAGGCUCCAUCCCCAACCUGGAGAGCUUGUAAGCUAAGCACUAUUAAAGGAGUUCCUGUAUGAACCAAAUCCUGGAGUCCUCCACACAGUUAUUGAUGCAGAGUUGCUCAGCAUCUUUCAUAGAGAAAAUGCAGUCACAUCCAAUCUGUCAUCAAUAAUAUGAAAUACUUAUUUUGCUUAUAUUCAAUAUCAUCAGAGGAUCAUUCAGAACAGGUGCUACCUAGAUUUAAGACUCUUGGUGCUGUCAUUAUAAUCAAAAGCACCUAACGACAGCCCACACAUGCUAAUGCAAACAUAAUAAUAUUAGUGCUUUUGGUUAAAACACGGCUCAGUGAAAGAUUUCUGCAGGCCAGACGUAGUAUGCAAGUGAAACUUUAUUUUUAAACCCUUUGAGUAGCCCAGUGAAACAAGAAUACUGUAAUAAAGGUUAUGUGCAGAGUGGAAACUUAUCCCAGGGGUUUCUCCCACAAUACACCUCACCUGGGUAAACAUACAUUUGCAUAUCAAUGCAUGGAUUACAGACUUUUCCUUUUCUGAGAAAGAGAAGGUACCCUGUUACACACACAGGAGACCAACAGCCAGGAGCUUUCAAGUCCCAUGCAAUCUGAGAACAGAGGACUUAGGUCUUCAGAGCCCCAGAGGCCAGUCCUCUAUAGCAAUCUCUCUCUUCUUUCUCUUAGUGCAUGGGGAUUCUGUUUUGUAACUCGCCCCGCCUUCAGAGAUGGCCUACUCCCAUCUGGGAGGCUGUGCUGGCUUCUGCAGGAGCCAGCCAGAUUUUGAAAUUGCAUUUGGAGCCAGUCACUGUAGAAAGGCUGGUUCUUGGAGGGGAAGAAAGGUGGCUUUGAUAGUUAUUGAUGAGCUCACCAGGUAGGAAUGGGACCUUUCAAAUAGGGCAAAUUAAAUCCCAGGCCUUGAGCUUGGGGCCUGGGAUUUGCUGCUGCUGCAUUGCAAAGAGCAGGUGGGCAGGCUCUGGGAGUAUCAGAUGCACAAAGUACAGGUGAACAGGUAACCAGAUUGGUAUCUCUGCAGGUGCCCUGAGGCUGGGAAACAGCACUGGCGGGGUGGAGAGGCAGCCUGCAACUCGGUGUCCCUCUUGCCUGAAGCAGCCAACAGGUUAACCCAGGUCUGUUCCUGCAGGACUGACAUGCGCUGGUUCCAGCCGAUGAAAGCAGAUGCAAAUCAGUGCAAUUUCCUCUGCAGCAAUAAUUAACCCACGGGAACCUUGCUGGAGCAGGUAGUUUCAGGAGAAUGGCACUGAAGAUGUUGGAGAGAGAUUAGCAUUUUUCAGCUCUCAUCGCAGUGAUUUGCGCUGCAUUUUAGUGUGUAUUCAGUUCCAACUCAUUACCAUAAAAAAAAAAACCCUCAUACAUUAAAUUGCUAGGCAGGGGGAAUCGACUUUGUUUAGGUAGAUAGAGAGCCUGGGAUGCUAGUGGACAUUGCUGGAGAACUGGCCGUGAAAGUGUGUCCUCAGUUUCCUGAUUUGUCAUGGGAGGAACUUGGCCUCUCCAACCUCUAGAACCAGUCCAGCUGGCAACCUACUAUUCUGUUUCCUUCCUUCCUUCCUUCCUUCCUUCCUUCCUUCCUUCCUUCCUUCCUUUUUAUUUGAGAUGGAGUCUUGCUCUGUCUCCCAGGCUGGAGUGCAGUGGCGUGAUCUCAGCUCACAGCAACCUCCGCCUCCCGGGUUCAAGCAAUUCUCCUGCCUCAACCUCCUGAGUAGCUGGGAUUACAGGCGCAUGCUACCAUGCCCGGCUAAUUUUUGUAUUUUUUUUAGUACAGACGGGGUUUCACCAUGUUGGCCAGGCUGGUCUCAAACUCCUGACCUUGUGAUCCGCCUGCCUAGGCCUCCCAAAGUGCUGGGAUUACAGGCGUGAGCCACUGCCCCAGGCCUGUUUGCUUUUAUGAAUUGGAGGACUGCCUGGGCCCAGGGAAGCCGCUAUUCAUCUGCCUAAGCUGUAGCUGUUGGAUGACACAGGAUCCUCAUCUCAAGUUGCUUUGAGGACAAGACCACUUUCUUGGGCCCCUCUGCACGUGGGCAGUCCUUCCAUGAUGACAGCUGCCCUGUUAUGGUGGGAUUACUUUGGAGGGUGGAUGUGGCCCAGGGAAGUGUGUAUUCUCAGUGGGCAGGCCUUCUGUUUUGAUCAUUUUGUAGCCCAGCAUCUAACACAAGGUGCUCGUGACUCAAGACCUUAUGUAAAGAGGGAGGGAUGAACACAAGGAAGAAAGUUCCCCAGAAAUCCUUCCUUACACCUGAACCGAUUCCUUCCUAUAUGUCCUCAGCUUGAGUCAUUUUCUGUAGCUCCCUCUUAUUUCCAUCAGAUACUUGGAUACAUUUUAAAUUGUAUCCCCCGAAUAUCAGUGAGAGAAAUCACAUCCAUGAUCUACACUGCAUUGACCAGGCCAUCCAGACAGAGAGCGGGGAUGGCUUGUCUCCCAGGGCAGUGGUGCCACGUGCCAGCCUAGAGGUUUCGGUUUACCUGCAUGCACCACGGUCCCUUGAGAAUCUGUGCCCUUCCCCUCCUGGUAGGGGAUGCUUGGAAAGGGUCAAUCUGAGGCCCUUGCUUUCAUGAAGGGCCUUGAGGCCCACAGCCAGGCUUCUAGAAAUCUAGAAUUGACCCUGGUUUCCAGAAUGACCAGUUUGCAUUUCCUUUAUCUGCACAAAGAAGCGGAUUUCUUGGGGGUCUUCUGGGUGUGAGCGUAGUGAGUGUGAAUGCAUCAAGGUGCCUAAAAAUACAAGGACAGAUGCCAAAUAUAAGCAUUUUUACCUUGAAGCUGCCUUGAAUUGAGUUUCGCAGGAAA
This 8069-nucleotide long non-coding RNA is filed under the name Homo sapiens (human). RNAcentral describes it as "HSALNT0299232". The record is from RNAcentral. Lineage: Eukaryota; Metazoa; Chordata; Mammalia; Primates; Hominidae.